UGAUNAGGGANCCCGAGUGCUCCUACUCAGUAGGAGCUGUCCAGUUGUCUAAAAAACAACCGUUAGCAAGAGCCGGGCAAGACCGGUGCCAGCCGCCGCGGUAACACCGGCGGCUCGAGUGGUGACCGUUAUUAUUGGGUCUAAAGGGUCCGUAGCUGGCUUAAUAAGUUCCUUGGGAAAUCUGGCGGCUUAACCGUCAGGCUGCCGAGGAAUACUAUUAGGCUCGAGACCGGGAGGGGCUAGAGGUACUUCAGGGGUAGGAGUGAAAUCCUGUAAUCCUUGAGAGACCACCAGUGGCGAAGGCGUCUAGCUAGAACGGGUCUGACAGUGAGGGACGAAAGCUAGGGUCGCGAACCGGAUUAGAUACCCGGGUAGUCCUAGCCGUAAACGAUGCGAGCUAUGUAUCAGUUUCACUGCGAGUGAAAUUGGUGCCGUANANAA
RNAcentral lists this ribosomal RNA (441 nucleotides) under uncultured organism. RNAcentral describes it as "bacterial SSU rRNA". It matches the Rfam family "Archaeal small subunit ribosomal RNA", at positions 368 to 810 of the family's 1478-position model. The record is from RNAcentral.